RNAcentral lists this ribosomal RNA (468 nucleotides) under uncultured bacterium. RNAcentral describes it as "partial 16S ribosomal RNA". It matches the Rfam family "Bacterial small subunit ribosomal RNA", at positions 28 to 507 of the family's 1533-position model. The record is from RNAcentral.
GACGAACGCUGGCGGCGUGCUUAACACAUGCAAGUCGAACGGAAAGGCCCUGCUUUUGUGGGGUGCUCGAGUGGAGAACGGGUGAGUAACACGUGAGUAACCUGCCCUUGACUUUGGGAUAACUUCAGGAAACUGGGGCUAAUACCGGAUAGGAGCUCCUGCUGCAUGGUGGGGGUUGGAAAGUUUCGGCGGUUGGGGAUGGACUCGCGGCUUAUCAGCUUGUUGGUGGGGUAGUGGCUUACCAAGGCUUUGACGGGUAGCCGGCCUGAGAGGGUGACCGGCCACAUGGGGACUGAGAUACGGCCCGAACUCCUACGGGAGGCAGCAGUGGGGAAUAUUGCACAAUGGGCGGAAGCCGGAUGCAGCAACGCCGCGUGCGGGAUGACGGCCUUCGGGUUGUAAACCGCUUUCGCCUGUGACGAAGCGUGAGUGACGGUAAUGGGUAAAGAAGCACCGGCUAACUACGUG